GCGCGGCCGGGGAGCGGGGAGGGCCCCGCUGCCAGGGGGCGGGGGCGGUGGCCGCCUGCCUGCCGGCGGCGGCGUGUGGGCGCGGGUCAGGGUCCCCCUGAGAGGGGAGGGGGCCCCGGGCGCUCGGCGGCGGCCUCGCUGGAGCAAGGCUGCCGGGAUCCUGCUCGUAGGCCCCGUGUCCCCCCGCCUGGUCCCGAGAUAGCCGCCCGUGAAGCGGGGCCGCCCGCCCGUGAAGCGGGGCCGCGGCUCCCCGGCCAGGCGGAGGGUGAGGUCCGGCCGGGGCUACUGCUCUGCGGCGGCCGGCUCGGCUCGGCUCUGCCCUGCCCUGCCCUGCCAGCCCUCCGCGCCCUGCGCCUGGGGCCCGGUGCGAGUCCGCCUCUGCUGAGCGAGCGUCUUUCCCACCGCACUUGCCUUCCCCGCCGUGUAACUCGCGUACAGGGUAACGGCCGGCCGGGGGGCCGAACAGCCGGCAGCUACCUCGGGGAGGGAGCACAGCCUCCGUGCCAGCACACGGCUGACAGGUAAAGCAGGAGAGGGAGCAGAACCCAAACGAAAGUCUCGGCCCCUCCACAAACGGAGAUCCUUCGCCAGCUUGCUCAGCAGGGCCCGCAGAGACGGCAGCAAUGGUAGUCAGCACUAGGUUUUCAGGGCAAACAUCUUUUCCUGCUAGCAUCAGAAGAAAAAGCAAGUUCCCUUUGCUGGAAGAAGAAAAGCAAUCCAGCUGACCUCACAGAUCCCCCUUGUCCUGGACUGAGAUAAAAAAAAAAAAAAUCAAUCUCCGUGCUAGAGAAAGACUCCAGAUGACACUACAAAAGCUUGAGUGUCAGAGCCAUCUUGCUUACUCUGGAUUUCACAUAAUGGCUUUCAGACUAUCUAUGUUAGAGGCCAGUUCACAGUAACUGUCAUUGUUCUUAGCUGUUUAACAUUUGGGGUUGUAUUAUUGUCUAUGUCAAUGUUCUUCAAAUACACAGAACUUCUAUAUUAUGUGUACUAUGCUUGUGAUCCUACUUUCGAUCCAACAGAAGUAGCUACAUGUCAGCCAGAGCUUGUGACUUAAUAAAGCACGAAAAGAGAGCAAUAGUGUUUAUCAUCCACAUUUUUAUAACGACCCACUUAGUAAGCUACUUCUCCAAACUGCAUCACAAAGAGCUUGCUAAAAUCAGUCUGAGAAAAACUGUAGAGAAGGUUGAACUGGCCAAGUAUGUACAGACUGAGGGGGAAAAGGUUGUUUAUGCUUGUUAUUUAUAAGAAAGUGAUAAAAACGGCAGCUUGAUGAAAGUAACAUCAUAUACUAUGCCUAUUCUGAUUUGGUGGCAAUAACUAAGAUAGCACCCCAGCUCAAGAGCAAAGGGGCUCCCACCAGUUUCAUCCUUGUGGUAUUUCAGCAAGCAUGUAGUUGACUACCAUACAGCCUCUGCAGGCCUUUUGCUUCUUGCUCCCACAGACUCUCUUCCUCUAAGUGUCUACUCUACAUGUUCUCCAUCUUUUAGUUCAGGCAUAAGUUCCAGCUGAAAAUGUGAGCCUUGCCUCCCAGGUAGCCCAGGUUGAAAAGGAGAGCCACCUUAUUUUGGCAUUUUGCGGGGACUCAGGAUAACAAGGAAAAAGCAGAAUAAAACUGAUUGGUUUCUGCAAAUGAACCUGUUCAUGAUGGCAAGAGGACCUUGAAGCCAUCGUAGGAUGUCCCUGGGAGCUCCUAUCCAUGCCUUGCUGUUACUGGAGGACUUAGCUUAUCUGCCAUGCCACUUCAGGGGAGAAGCCUAAUAUUUGUCACCUGCCUCAGAGACUGGAGCUGCAGGUGUUGGAGCUAGCUGUGGCUAAGCCUGAGUGGAAGUCCAAAUGGGGCUGGAGGACUGACAGCUCUCAGGAUGUGUAAAUGAGGAAGUCUGCCCACAGUGCUGUUGUCUGUGUUUCUCUGGGAAGAGCUCUUGGUGUUGCUGAGGUGGGGGAGGAAUCCUGACAUCAACUGAGCCUCUGCUGCCUGGUUCUGGACCUCAGUACUAUGGCAGUCUGGCAGCUGCAUAUUUCAGCCUUGGAUCAGUCGGUGAAGAAAAUUCAUAACCAUGUCAGUCUUUGGUAGAAUCUGGGCAUUCAUAUUACUGGGCACUCUUAGACCCCAGUGGUCUACAGGGUCACUGCAGCCCCACAGGCAGCUUGUUCAACUUUUUAUCUGUCUUACUGCUUUGUAGACUCUGUCACAGUGCUCCCCUGCAAACUGGAGUGGCAGUUUGAGACCAAUGGCAGCAUGCUUGUUAUGCUCCUAGUGUGACUGCUCCAUGUUAUCCUGUUUCCUAGACAUAUGUGGGUGUGGGAAAAGAGUUUAAAAUCAGUGUAGGUUGACCAGGAAGCGUUCAACUACUUGGAGGUCCUUUUUCGCUUUAAUUUUGCCAACAUCUUCCAAUCAACAUGUCUCUGCCUCUGGUGAGCAUAAGGAGGCUAUUUCUACAGAUACCCAAAGUCCUGGAAGCUGCAAGGGAUGUUGGUGACAUGGGAGACCCUCCUUGAAGCAAGGCUAGUGUUUUGCUGUGGUCCUUGUGCCUGAGGCCUGCCCUGCAUAGGGAAACAAUCUGUCUCAGCCUCUUCUCCUUUCACGUUCCUGCUGUGCAGAAGGGCAAGCUUUCUUGUGCCUCUUCCAAGAGUCAUGUCUGAUCCUGCUCUGGGAGCAGGCUGUCUGUGGACUGGGAAACCUAUGUAUGACAUUGUGGCCGUGACUGUGAGGGGACAGUCCUGGUGAGAAUGGCUGGGGCAAACCAGAGUCUCUGUGAGCCUGGCACUUGAACACAUGAGGUGCAGUUGAGGAGAGUUGUGAGAAAAGUUUUGCUGGUUACUUCACCAGGGUCAUGUCAUGUAAGCACAGUAAAUAGCAGUGCUGACUGAGUUGCUGUUUACAACAUCUCAGAGUAGGGUUUGCAUUCAGAGCCCCUAUAGCACCAUUUUGAAACCGUGCCCAGUUGCGGUAGGAAGUUGAGUAACUGUGUGCAAGGGUCAGCUAUGGGGAGGCCAGGAGAAGUUUUAGGGCUCCGAGAAGCAAGUGAACUGCAGAGGGGUGCCUAGAUACAUCUUUAUUAAUAUAUCCGUAUCAGCAACAGCUGAGGUCAUGACAAGCUGUGUUGCUAGCCAGAACUUCCAUCUUGUCAUACUCGGCUAUUCCAGAGUAUAUGAUUCACAUGUGAUUAACCUGAAAUUCCCUCCUGGAUACAGGAGUGGCUAGGGAGAGACAAGGUCUCAUGUUUUCAGGUGGGUGGAAGGGUGCUCCCAUCAAGGGUACUGUGACUGUGUCUUCCUGGGUCAUGUGUGCUAGCUGUGAGAACCCACGCCGAUGAGACAUUCAGCCGCAUGAGACAGGGCGUGUAAUCUAAGCUGUGUCCCUGUGCCACAACCUUCUGUUUUCCUUAGCUGUGAAUGUGAAUACCUACAUGAACGCACAAGUUGGAGACAGGUGAGCCUUCCAGGCUUUCUGAAGAAGUCCACAGAGCAAUGAGGCUAUUCUAGUUUUGAUUACAAACAAUAAGAAGCAACUAGCUGAAAAGGUCAGGGUAAACAUUAGAUGAGACUGUCCAUGAAAUAGCAGAGUUAGUGAUCUGCAGGACCAGAAUGAGGAGUAGGAUCAACAUGAACCCCAAGAAAGUCAGGAGGGCAGCCUUCAAUGAACUUGGAGAAGAGGAAGGCAGGGGUCCCCGGGAAGCUUGUAUAACAGGUGAAUGGAAAAGAAAGAGUGAAUUCACAGGAGCUGCUAAUAUUAAGAGCACAAAUACAGGUUCUAAUUGUGAAGUAAAUUCAGCAACUGUAGUUAGGAAACCAGCUUGGCUAAAUCAGUCAAACUGAAGAAACAAACCUAUAGGGAAGGAGAAAGCAGGCUAAGCUGUUAGGGCUGAGAAUAAAAGUGUAACAGAAGCAUGUAGGAACAAAAUCAGAAAGACACAAGCAUGAAAUGAAAUGCAACUAGCAAGCAAAAUAAAAAAACCCACAUCACUCUAGAAGCCCACUAAUUGUAUGAGGUAGAAAGGGUUCUCUUAACUGUAAAGUGAGAAAACUAAAAGGUGUCAGGAAGGCAGUACCUUCUAGACUUUACUACAAAAGAUCAGUAAAAUAAGGAAACUAAUGCAUUAGCCUCAGUUAAGAAAAGGGUAGAAUAUUUAAGGCAGGUAUUUUCAAACUGACCUCAAGUCUCUCUCUAACUUCAUCCUAGUGUAUUUAAAGAUCUUUCUAACAGAAUCCGAGUGUCAAUAAUCAAUGUCUUUGACAAGUUAUGGAUGUUAGGAAGGAUAGAGGGAGGCUGUAAAGUGACGAGCUUGGUGGAGGGGAGGGAGGAGAAAAAGGAGAAGGUAUGGAAUUAUUGAUUAAGCAAAUUAAUUUCAAUUCCUAGAAAAAUAGUGAAAAAUAUAUUUGUACAUUCCUGAAAAAUAACAUAGGGAUGAGUAACCAUCAACAAGAAACCACAUCUCAAAAAUUUGGUUGCCUUUACGACAGCAUGACAUAUCUUAUGGAGAAGAGCUAUAGAUACAAUAUGUCUUGAUUUUCAGGUAACUUUUUAUGUGAUUUGCAUAAGCAAAUUAAUAAAGUGUGUUCUACAUUAAUCUGCAGCUAGGUGUGUGCAAAGCUUGUGGGAAAACCAGAGUAACAGGGUGGUUCUCUAUAAAAAUGGAAAUGUGUAUCAAGUUGGAUUGCACAGAUCCAGAAUCUGGUGACCUGGACGAAUGCUUAUAAAAGGGAAAAUGCUUAUUGAAUUCACAUAUAUGUCAGGCUGGGAAGGAGUAAGUAUGCUGGAGGACAGGGACAGAAUAAAAAAUGAUCUUCAAUUAGAAAUAUGAAAAAAAUGGAAGCUAGUCAACCAAAACAGCUGCAGACCUAGGCAGGAAUAAUCAACUGGUAGGGAAAACUGGUUAGGUAGCAGUUCUGUACAAUAGUAACUCAGGCUUUGAGUGGUCACAGACUGGCUGUGAGUCAACCAUGGCUUGUUAUUGCAAAAAAAGGUAAGUGUCCUGCUGGGGUGUAUUAUGAGGAUUAGAGUUUGCAAGACUUGGCAAGGAAUUCUGCUUUGCUUAGCAGUUGUAAAGCUAGUUCUGGAUGUUGCAUGUGAAGAAGGAUGUGGACCACCUGGAGAGCAACCAGAAUGUCAAAGGGCCUAGAGGAAAUAGUGAAUUAUUAGGGAGGAAUAAGAUGAGUAGAAGAAUGACAACAGUCCACAAAUAUGUGAGAAGUUACUGAUGAGAUGGGAAUGUUUUCUAUGUCCACCAGGGGCAGAAAUUGCAACCAGGAUAUUUUACGUUAAACAUUAGGACAAACAUUUUUCAAGGGUAGAGGUACUGGAAAAAAGAUUGCCAGUGGUAUGGUCAGGGUCUGUCAUUGGGGUCUUUAAGAACAGGCUACAUACAUAUCCUCCAUAAACAGAAAUUUGGUAGGUGUAGUGGAGCAGCCUGGAGGCAGGGAGGCUGUCAGUAGGACUUUCUUCGGACUCUUCAGCCCUAUGUUUCUAUUGUUGCUAAUGUCAUAGAAUCACAGAAUCAUAGAAUGGUUUGGGUUGGAAGGCACCUUUAAAGGUCAUCUAGUCCAAACCCCCUGCAAGGAGCAGGGACAUCUUUCACUAGAUCAGGUAGCUCAAAGCCUCAUCCAACCUGACCUUGAACACUUCCAAUGAUGGGGCAUUGCUUCUCUGGGCAACCUGUUCCAGUGUCUCACCACCCUCAUCAUAAAAAAAUUCUUCCUUAUAUCAAAUCUAAAUCUACCCUUUUUCAGUUUGAAACCAUUGCCCCUUCUCCUAUCACUACAGGCCUUGGUAAAAAGUGGAUCCUGUCCACCAGUACACGCAUUGUCCCCUCCCAUGUCCUGGAGUCUAUGCCAUUCCACUUGAUACUAGUUGAAGGUUUCAACCCCCAAAAUCCUCCUCAUAAUCCUGCUCCUAGUUAAGUUAAUUUACCUAUGAAACACAGUGCAACUUCUCUGGUGUAAUCCUGACCUCAUCCUAACCCUGUUGGUUGUAAAUAAAAACUUGUGCAAUGUUUUGGAGUUUUCUUUUUACAUAAAACUACAUCUCUUUUUUUAACCUUAAAACUUAUGUUGUAAUACACAGCUGGUCAACAGUCUCCAAACAUCUGCCAUGGGUAAAUACAGGAAAUGUCUUGUGGCUGUUGUACUUGAUGUCUGAUGAAAAUAUGAUAUCACUUCUGAGGGCAAAAGGCUCUUUCUCCCACUGGUGUUUCCCACAGGACUUCAGGAGAGGGCUGGCUUUGGAACUGCUGCUUCUCAUAGCAACAGAAUGGUGAUGAACUGUUGCUGUGAGAGGCAGGGACCCCUGAAGCACAGCUCCUGCUGAGUCUUGAGCUAAGUAGGAGGAAAGGACAAGUGACCCUGCUGCUCACGGAGGCAGCCCUUUCCUUUCCUGGAUGUUGUGAGUCUCUUAGUUCCAGCUGAGGUCCUAAUUCAGCUGUCCCGCAGCUACAAUCUAUGACAGCUGCAUGAUCUGCCUCCAUGUCCGGCAGGGAGUGCUCAUGGAAUUCAGAACUUGUCCAAAGGUAGGAAAUCCUGUAGUUCAGCAGUGGAAGAAAAGGUUCCUGUGAACAGCAUCUGAAGUGGCAGAAACUCCACUAUUGCGACAAAUGCCAUCCAUGAGCAUUCAAGGAUUUAACAAGACAGUCUCUGAAAUGGAGUAAAAAUGUUUCGGGGAGGAAGACAGUAUAAUUUUUUUCCUAACUGGUUGAGGAACAGAGUUAUUCUUUCAAUGUUACCACAUCUGCACCUCAAGACAGCUCGCUGUCACUCACACCUCCCGAUAAGCUCCUUGGUGAACAAGUUCUUCAGCUGAACUGACUAGAUCCAGAUGGGAUGCCAACGGCAGCUGUGGUCACACCUUUUCAUGACAUCAAGCAUAUGAUUCUGUGUGAUGUAGGGUUUUGUCAUUGACCUAAUUAGGAUCAAAAGCAAAUCCUAAUGGCUGCCUGCAAGACCCUGUGAUGUCAGUAAAAGUUUUGCCAUUGUACUUUUGUACCAACUUCUUAACACAUCAUGACUUCCAUCUGCAUGUGGACGGAGACCCAAUCAACUAGAGCUCUUAUCAAGCUUCUGGGAUAAAGCUGAUCAAAAAUAAAAUCCUGGAACAAAAUCUGCUUUGAGUUAUUUUAUGUUUCACACAAAUUUAACUCUGUUAAUUGCCACGGAAUUUCUCUUCAGCUGCACUGUUGCAACGAAGUGCAGAGCUUUUGCCUCAAAUGUCUCCCAGCUUCAGAAAAUGUUCUGAUCAGGAAUCUUUUAAUGUAUUUCAUUCUUCUUGAUGUUGAAGUUAUUUCACUAACCCUUCUUUAUCUUUGCUGCUGAAUAUACAUUUGAUUACUAAAUUUAGUGCUUCUCUUCACAUGACCCAUUUCUUUUGAGUCUUAAUGCUGUUGCUUGGAUACGCUUCUCUCUUCUAAGUGAGGCACUUGGUUUCAUCUUGCUUUUUUCUGUGCUUUGGGCAAUACAAAUGGAUUGUUAUUGAAUAUUUUUUCAGGUUUUUAAAUGUAUUUGGUUUGUCUGGCACCUUGGUUUCAGGAGAACUUUUGUCUUUGCAGAUCUGUCUUUUUAUGUAUAGUAUAUCCUGUGUAACGUUGAAUAGCUUGCUAUUGCUUUUCUUCACAAUCAGUUACAAAAAUGACACCAUUAUGUUGAGUAAAGGCCAAUCACUACAUAACUUAUGGGAAUACGAAUAUUUAUAGAUAAACAGGGAGAUAUAUUCAAUUUCCUUUUUGUAUGUGUACUGUAGCUGCAAGUUAAUUUCUGAAGCACCUUACAUGAAUUCAUCUUUUUGUUUUAGUCCUGGGCUAUUAAAGUAUACAACAGGAAUAAACUAAAGCACUUUAAUUUGGGCUGAAGUAUUCUUACUCCUGUACAGAGUUUUGCUUAUACCAUUUUGAAAAAGGUAUAGUAGACUAGCACAAGAAGAA
This is a long non-coding RNA of Harpia harpyja (harpy eagle), 7913 nucleotides long. RefSeq lists it as uncharacterized. Lineage: Eukaryota; Metazoa; Chordata; Aves; Accipitriformes; Accipitridae. The transcript is spliced from 3 exons. The record is from RefSeq and is a predicted model, not a curated record.